CGGAGGGCAAGAGGUUCGACCCGAGCGAAGCGAGAAAACGUUGCGUCAGCAACGGCCCGCAGGGCGAGCCACGCAGUGGCAAGUCAUCCUCUGUCACCGGCAG
Molecule: small RNA, 103 nt
Filed under: Salmonella enterica subsp. enterica serovar Indiana
Lineage: Bacteria; Pseudomonadati; Pseudomonadota; Gammaproteobacteria; Enterobacterales; Enterobacteriaceae
Description: partial RtT sRNA
Rfam family: RtT RNA
About the family: This family represents a bacterial cis-regulatory element known as RtT RNA. The exact function of RtT is unknown although it is thought that it may be involved in changing the cellular response in relation to amino acid starvation.
Source: RNAcentral